Molecule: small RNA, 28 nt
Filed under: Bombyx mori (domestic silkworm)
Lineage: Eukaryota; Metazoa; Arthropoda; Insecta; Lepidoptera; Bombycidae
Description: ovarian small RNA-9912
Source: RNAcentral
AAACACGUCUAGAUGUAGCGAUGUCAAC